GGGAGAGGUGUUGACUUCGUUCCAUUUCUGUUAUGCUUCCAAACGCAGCUCUGAACUACGAAGCAAGGAAUAAUAAACACUCGCUACUUUUAUCAAUUGUUUAGCAAUCAAAGUGGAUAAGAAGAGAUGUCAGAGAAGUUCUAGCCGACGUUGAGGAUUGGAGAUCUCAGCGAUUUCAUAGCACCGUCUCAGGCUUGUGUCGUCUCUUUAAAGGGAUUGAAAUCAAACACAAUGAAACCUGAUAAAUAGGAUGUUUCAAUUGCUAAGAAUCAGCAAACUGAACCCGUUAAAAUCUCGCUCAAGGACUGUUUGGCAUGCAGGUAAAUUCCUUUCUCUGUGUGUUCAGUAGGCAAAAGCACUGACGGGCAACUAAUUAGGGAGAAUUUGAUAAAAUUAAUUGAUGUUUUCAUUGCGCUUUUUUUUUUUGGUUGAUUCUUCAGUUGAGGUUUAAGCUUGUAACCUCAAGAUAUCUCCAUGGAGUCAAAACUCAUUGCUUUAGAAACAACAUGACAAUAGGAAAUGAAAUUUAGUUCAAUUUUGCUAGUGCUCGAGUAACUUAUAGACAACUUGUUUGUGAUUUUUUGGAAAUGGAUACCGAGAUACAAAGCAGCCUAUUAUUUUUUUUUUUUUUUCUCUUACUUUUGAAGGAACAAGAAAAUCAUCAAAUUGUUAUCUCCUGUAUUGAUAUGUUGUGUGCAACCAUCCCCAUGAUAAAGGCAUAGAAUUUACUAUUUCUUGUGACAAUGCUGUGGGUGCAUAACAUCAGCAGAAACCAUCGUGCUGUUAUUGAUAAAGGAAAAGCCAUUAUUGUCUCCAUGUCUCCACAGUCUAGAGCUUCUCUUGCAGUUCAUUUUGGCAUCUCCGCCCUUCAGGUGGAGCUCACUUUCAUACCCAUGCUAAACUUUAAUUCACUAGUCUGCAUGUGUGAAGAGAAUAUUUUUAGUGUGAAGAAGUGCAUAUUUGCUUUUUAAGAAACUUGCAUCAUUUUUGAAGUCCUUGGGAGUAAAAGCUGUAUUCAAUACAAGUUGUAGUAGAGAUUUAACUCUUGUCCUUACACGCUACAAAUAGAGCCAAUCAAAUGAUGACAACAGAUCUGCAUUAGCUUUACCUAUGCUUUCAUCAGCGUGUCCAGGUUUAUUUCUUAGCCUUUGGUUGUUGAGCAAUUGUAUAACAUCCUCCCUGUCUCUGUUCCUUUCCCCUAAGCCUGCUAACAAACAGGCUACAUUUCAUUCACUUUUGAUGUAUGUUUUACAUGAUACAUAGAACUCCAAAUCUAUAAUGGAAGAUAUAUGAUAUACGUGGAAUGUUAUCAAUCAUAAAUCACUCCUAAGAUUUUGCUAAUCAAUCUUUUGAUUUUCUCAUAAUCAAGAGAUUAUUCAAUGAGACAUAUCUCAUGCGUUAAAGAAAAUUCUCAUUAAUUCCAACAUGCAUAAUGAAUCAUAUUUUAGCAGGAACCUUGUAUCUUGAAGUAAUUUGUAUUGUUUAUACUGAAAUAAGAAUUUUACUAUAUCUUGAAGUAAUUUGCAUUGUUUAUACUGAAAUAAGUAUUUUAUGAGUAUUUGUAAUCAUACUAAUUAUUACAUGUUAUUGGCUGCCUUUUGUGUGUGACGGGCACUGUUUGGUGAGGGCUCUUUAUCAAUUAGAGAAAUGAUGCCCAUGGAGUUUUUUUACCCGACUAUAUUAGAGGAUCAAUACUCUUGCCUACCUUAAAAACCAAAUUCUCUCCUUCCAGUGCUAAUAAAAAAAAAUCAUUAAAGAAGAAGACAAGAUAUGAGACUUGAAAUCCUGCAAUGCAUACCACUUAAUGGAGUUUCUUAAGUUAUGCUCCUUCUAUUUCCCCGUCAUCCAACCUAAGCUCCUCUUCCACAUAUUAAAAUUUUAAGUCCAGGACCAGGAUUAUUCUUUUGAUAGAUUUUGUCUUCAUAGCUCAUAUUGUGUCAUAGUGUGGUGUCGGUAUUUCUAUGCAGAUGCAAUUUAAGAUACAUUUUUGGUCUUCAUAUAUACUUGAAUGAUUUAAAUUAAUUGGUGAAAACUUGUUUAAUAGGCCGGACAAGGUUUACCAUGUCACUGUGAUGCCUUGUUAUGAUAAGAAGCUUGAGGUUGCAAGGGAUGACUUUGUUUUUGAAGUGGGCCGGACAAGGUUGAAAUUCUCCUUCUUUUUGGACUAAUGCAUAGGGCUAUUGACCUAUAGUGCUAUUCACCUACUCUUUUAAAAUCUAGAAGCAAUCGUAACCUUGUUUAGUUUCGUAUGCAAUGAAACAGGUUAUCAUUUUUUAACUGAUUUAUUGUGAAUAAGUGAUACCUAAGCUUCAGUUUAGUCUAUAUACAAUGACUACCCUUGUGUGUUUGCCUUUUAUGUUAUUUCCUUUUUAAGUAACCCAUAUGUAAUUUGAAAUUUUCUUAUGCAUGCAUAUAUUAGAAUUUAUACCAUUCAGGAUUUGCCUGUUAACUUUUGUGGGCUGGUCCAUUUCUAGGCUUGUGUACUGGAUUUGGGAUUAGUUCUUAGCAUAUCAUGUGCAUUAGUUUCCACUGUUUACUAAGUAGGAGUGACAGGAUCAUUUGAAUAAUCAAGUCUCAUGUCUUCCACCAUUAAUUUUAUGAACUGUUGGGAUCACCUAAAUUGAUCAGAACCAUUGGAAAUGGAUGUCCUAUGCUAAUCAAUGUCCCCAUCUCUCCAAAAGCAUUUGAUGUGCAACACGUUCUUUGGGUAAAUUGAUUGUAUUUCAAUAAAUGGAAUAACUACCCCAAGGGAAAGCAGAUAUGUAACUAGAUUAUGUUUGCUUGUUCAAUCAUUCAAAUAAAAAGGCUAUACUUAAAAUGGUGAGUUGUUUGAAUGAAAUUAUAUAGGCAGCAUAUAAACUCUAAUGACUACUUGUAACUGCUAAAAAAGGACUUGCGGAUAUGCAUGUGUGCAUUUUUUUAUGUUUGUUUUUGCUUUCAUUUAUCUUGUCCUAGUUUUGCAUAUAUGUUUUAACUGAUCAUAUUUCAUAUCAAUUUAUAGGUUUUAGUAGCAGAUCCCUUUGAGAAUCCUCUUGUUAAAGGCUUUUAUGAUGAGUGGCUUGAAGUACCUGGCUCAGAGACGGCUAAGAAAUUCUUGCACACAGCAUAUCAUCCUGUGGUUCAGAGCGUAACUGCUCGGUUACAUAACUGGUAACACUGGUUCCUAUGUCUGAUCCCACACAAAAUAUCAGAACUUCCCUAUGCUGUCAGUCCUUGGGCUUGUUUUCUCUA
This 3231-nucleotide unclassified non-coding RNA is filed under the name Hevea brasiliensis (rubber tree). Lineage: Eukaryota; Viridiplantae; Streptophyta; Magnoliopsida; Malpighiales; Euphorbiaceae. The record is from RNAcentral.